UGUUUCAGCCCGAGAUGCAGACGAGCGGGAGAAGUGGAUCCACGCCUUAGAGGGAACCAUCCUCCGCCACACCCUCCAGCUCAGAGAGGCAGAGACAGGAUUGGUGCCGAGCGUUCAGGACUUUGAUAAGAAGCUCUCUGAAGCUGACGCCUACCUGCAGAUCCUGAUCGACCAAUUAAAGCUGUUUGAUGAGAAGAUCAAGGACUGUAAAGAGGAUGAGUCCCGCAGAGUGAGUACCUGCUAAUCUGUCGUUAGCGCUGAAGCUAACAGCAGGAAGCACGUUGAAUUAUAUAUGA
Molecule: long non-coding RNA, 296 nt
Organism: Notothenia coriiceps (black rockcod)
Lineage: Eukaryota; Metazoa; Chordata; Actinopteri; Perciformes; Nototheniidae
Exons: 3
Source: RefSeq, a predicted model, not a curated record